RNAcentral lists this transfer RNA (73 nucleotides) under Marmota monax (woodchuck). RNAcentral's name for it is "tRNA.Ala". It matches the Rfam family "tRNA". Rfam says of the family: Transfer RNA (tRNA) molecules are approximately 80 nucleotides in length. Their secondary structure includes four short double-helical elements and three loops (D, anti-codon, and T loops). Further hydrogen bonds mediate the characteristic L-shaped molecular structure. tRNAs have two regions of fundamental functional importance: the anti-codon, which is responsible for specific mRNA codon recognition, and the 3' end, to which the tRNAs corresponding amino acid is attached (by aminoacyl-tRNA synthetases). tRNAs cope with the degeneracy of the genetic code in two manners: having more than one tRNA (with a specific anti-codon) for a particular amino acid; and 'wobble' base-pairing, i.e. permitting non-standard base-pairing at the 3rd anti-codon position. The record is from RNAcentral. Lineage: Eukaryota; Metazoa; Chordata; Mammalia; Rodentia; Sciuridae.
UGGGGCUGUGGCUCAGCGGUAGAGCACUUGCCUAGCACGUGUGAGGCCCUGGGUUCGAUCCUCAGCACCACAA